This 87-nucleotide transfer RNA is filed under the name Brevundimonas variabilis. Its description in RNAcentral is "tRNA-OTHER". Lineage: Bacteria; Pseudomonadati; Pseudomonadota; Alphaproteobacteria; Caulobacterales; Caulobacteraceae. The record is from RNAcentral.
GUGGGUGAUCUUGAGUUAACAUGCCUCCAACGCACUCAAAAUCCGGUUCCGAAAGGAGUGUCGGUUCGAUUCCGACCGCCCGCACCA